CCUACGGGGGGCUGCAGUGGGGAAUAUUGGACAAUGGGGGCAACCCUGAUCCAGCCAUGCCGCGUGUGUGAAGAAGGCCCUCGGGUUGUAAAGCACUUUCAGUGAGGAAGAACGCCUGGUGGUUAAUACCCAUCAGGAAAGACAUCACUCACAGAAGAAGCACCGGCUAACUCCGUGCCAGCAGCCGCGGUAAUACGGAGGGUGCGAGCGUUAAUCGGAAUUACUGGGCGUAAAGCGCGCGUAGGUGGCUUGAUAAGCCGGUUGUGAAAGCCCCGGGCUCAACCUGGGAACGGCAUCCGGAACUGUCAAGCUAGAGUGCAGGAGAGGAAGGUAGAAUUCCCGGUGUAGCGGUGAAAUGCGUAGAGAUCGGGAGGAAUACCAGUGGCGAAGGCGGCCUUCUGGACCGACACUGACACUGAGGUGCGAAAGCGUGGGUAGCAAACAGGAUUAGAACCCUUGUAGUC
RNAcentral lists this ribosomal RNA (464 nucleotides) under Vreelandella stevensii. RNAcentral's name for it is "partial 16S ribosomal RNA". It matches the Rfam family "Bacterial small subunit ribosomal RNA", at positions 338 to 795 of the family's 1533-position model. The record is from RNAcentral. Lineage: Bacteria; Pseudomonadati; Pseudomonadota; Gammaproteobacteria; Oceanospirillales; Halomonadaceae.